Molecule: ribosomal RNA, 384 nt
Filed under: uncultured bacterium
Lineage: Bacteria
Description: bacterial SSU rRNA
Rfam family: Bacterial small subunit ribosomal RNA
Source: RNAcentral
AUUGAACGCUGGCGGCAGGCCUAACACAUGCAAGUCGAGCGGUUGAGGUAGCUUGCUGCCGAUGCAGCGGCGGACGGGUGAGUAAUACAUGGGAAUCUGCCUGGUAGUGGGGGACAACGUUUCGAAAGGAAUGCUAAUACCGCAUACGCCCUACGGGGAAAGGGGGGGAGUCUUCGGACCUCUCGCUAUCAGAUGAGCCCAUGUCGGAUUAGCUUGUUGGUGAGGUAAAGGCUCACCAAGGCGACGAUCCGUAACUGGUCUGAGAGGAUGAUCAGUCACACUGGAACUGAGACACGGUCCAGACUCCUACGGGAGGCAGCAGUGGGGAAUAUUGGACAAUGGGCGAAAGCCUGAUCCAGCAAUGCCGCGUGAGUGAUGAAGGCC